AUACGGAGGGUGCAAGCGUUACGCGGAAUCACUGGGCGUAAAGCGCGCGCAGGCGGCUAUUUAAGUUGGAUGUGAAAGCCUAUGGCUCAACCAUAGAACUGCAUCCAAAACUAUUUAGCUAGAGUGUGGGAGAGGAAGAUGGAAUUAGUUGUGUAGGGGUAAAAUCCGUAGAGAUAACUAGGAAUACCAAAAGCGAAGGCAAUCUUCUGGAACACUACUGACGCUGAGGCGCGACAGCGUGGGGAGCAAACAGGAUUAGAAACCCUAGUAGUCC
RNAcentral lists this ribosomal RNA (274 nucleotides) under uncultured bacterium. RNAcentral describes it as "partial 16S ribosomal RNA". It matches the Rfam family "Bacterial small subunit ribosomal RNA", at positions 523 to 796 of the family's 1533-position model. The record is from RNAcentral.